UCUCCGUUGGUGAACCAGCGGAGGGAUCAUUACAGAGUUUUCUAACUCCCAAACCCAUGUGAACUUACCAUUGUUGCCUCGGCGGAGCCUACCCUGUAGCUACCCUAUAAGGUGGUUACCCUGUAGCGCCCCGCCGGUGGACUUUUUAACUCUUGUUAUUUUAUGUAAUCUGAGAGUCUUAUUUUAAAUAAGUCAAAACUUUCAACAACGGAUCUCUUGGUUCUGGCAUCGAUGAAGAACGCAGC
This 245-nucleotide unclassified non-coding RNA is filed under the name uncultured fungus. RNAcentral's name for it is "sequence contains ITS1, 5.8S rRNA gene". The stretch from base 197 to 245 matches the Rfam family "5.8S ribosomal RNA", at positions 1 to 49 of the family's 154-position model. Lineage: Eukaryota; Fungi. The record is from RNAcentral.